UUUUUGGCUUACUCAGAGUUUUUGUAGGAGUGGGUGUUGUGUUGGGAGCCAGACGUUUGCUGGAUUCCCUCUCUAAGAUAACAUUACCUAAUGUUGCAGUUUGUUGAUGCUGUUGUAUAGCAGAAGAGAAACUACUGUUUGAGGCAAGGCUUUCUGGAGCGCGCAUAUAUGUCAUUCUUUGGAUUUUCCCGGCAAAAGAGACCCACUCCCUUCACAUGAAAAUCAGUCUACAGACUUUUAUAGGUGUAACCCAGGUUAAAAUUUGUCCAUAUAUAUAUUAAAUGUUUGUAUAUUGGUUUGGCUGUCCCUUUUAAUAUAUCUGCGCGUGAGUACGUGCCCUGCGACCUUACGUAACUCCAGUCAUGUGACUGUGCUUAGCCAAUCGCGCUUUGGAGCACGAGUGUUUAACCGGAGCGCGGCGUACUCCUCAUUCAGAGGUGUGGGGAAGCCGAUCGACAGCUGUGGAUAGGUACCUCGGACACACAAAGUCCUGCUUCAGGUUCUUUGCCUCGUCACACACGUGGAUGACCAUGUUGGGGCUGUGUUCAAAGAAGAUAAGCAGCGAAAAUGGAAAACAUGUGCUUUGUGUGACAUCUCCUCCUCAUGGACUGCACCAGAUUUUCCAGUUCUUGAUGUGAGAUGUUACCCCACACUUCCACCAAGGCACUUGCAAAUUCCCGGACAUUUCUGGGGGGGAAUGGCCCUAGCCCUCACCCUCCAAUCCAAAAG
Xyrauchen texanus (razorback sucker) is the source of this 729-nucleotide long non-coding RNA. RefSeq lists it as uncharacterized. The transcript has 3 exons. The record is from RefSeq and is a predicted model, not a curated record. Lineage: Eukaryota; Metazoa; Chordata; Actinopteri; Cypriniformes; Catostomidae.